AUUGAACGCUGGCGGCGUGCUUAACACAUGCAAGUCGAUCGGUAACAGGUGUAGCAAUACAUGCUGACGAGAGGCGGACGGGUGAGUAACACGUGGGUGACCUGCCCUCAGCUCUGGGAUAAGCCUGGGAAACCGGGUCUAAUACUGGAUAUGACUCCAUGACGCAUGUUGUGGGGNGGAAAGCCUUGUGCGGCUGAGGAU
RNAcentral lists this ribosomal RNA (201 nucleotides) under uncultured bacterium. RNAcentral's name for it is "partial 16S ribosomal RNA". It matches the Rfam family "Bacterial small subunit ribosomal RNA", at positions 30 to 226 of the family's 1533-position model. The record is from RNAcentral.